Long non-coding RNA from Apis mellifera (honey bee), 2516 nucleotides. RefSeq lists it as uncharacterized. The transcript has 4 exons. NCBI's taxonomy places the organism in Eukaryota, Metazoa, Arthropoda, Insecta, Hymenoptera, Apidae. The record is from RefSeq and is a predicted model, not a curated record.
UUUUGUCUCUCGCUUCUUGGAUUCAAACGAACGUAAAUACUACGAAUAUAUAUAUAUAUAUGUAUGUAUAUAUUUCGUGUGCUUUGUUUGGCGCGCGAGUUUCGAACGUGUUGCUGGCAAAUAAACGAGGAACUGUGUAAAAAAAAUACUUGGGAAGAGCAGAAAAUUCCAGACCGAUCAAUAUCUCGAAUUUCACGAGUGGGAAUAAUAAACAUAUGCACGAUCUUAAGCGUAAAGAUACUUCUACUCAAUUUCUCCUUCUUCUUCUUGUCACGAGACGAGAAAGAAAAAAAAAACCCUGCAAUGAGUUCCACUAAAUUACACAGAGAUGCGAUAAUGGUAACGGAGGUAACGAGAGAAACAACGAGAGAUGGCGGUAGAGAAGUAAAAACUGAAACGAUUUUAUCGAAACGUAUCCUGCGCGCGCAGGUUUCUUCCGCUUUCGCGACAAAGCGUAAGUGCGCGCGCCGCGGAAACCGGCGUAAUAAUUGGAGAACGAGAAGAUGUACGGCCGACCGAGUACCGCUAUUCCGGCUGACCGGAAUCACUGCUCUGGAACACCACGGUCUUCUCUCCCUCUCUUCUCUUCUCUCUCUCCUCUUCAAUCUCGAAAACCUGCGCGUCAACGUGCUCGCAGGAGAAACACGUGCUACUGGCUAACACCUGUUCCAUGGCUCGGACGCUUUUUCCACGAGUGGAUUUUCAAUCCUUGAUCCUGACUCGAGAAUUGAGUAAUUGAUUUAUCGUUUUCUUACGUUUUUUCUUUCUCUCUCUUACGCAAGAUAAGAAAAAUUUAACAAACUAACGUGUGAUUGAUAACCUUUUGAAUAUAAUCUUAACGUUCUUGCAAUAUGGUUAAAUGUUAAAAAUAACAUUUUUUUUUUGGAUUGUGAUCUAUAAAUUGAGAACCAUUAAAUUAAUCUAAUCGUACACUUGAAAUAUUGAAAAUGUGUUUUAUGAGGUCGGUGAUAGAGAGCGGAAAUUCCGGAAUGGAAAUAAUUUCGAAGAUAAAACUUCCGUUUUAUAACCAGUACGAAGGUCGACAGAAAUAUAAAAUGGUUCAUGGUUCGAUACUUUAUGACCCCUUUGUGAUUUGUAUAAAUUUGCAAUGUCAUGUAAUGAUAGAAGGGAUCACUUAAUUUUAAACUCGAGCCUUUGAAAGCCUUUGUGUUAAGGUAUGUACUUAUGAAUCAUACAAACCUAACCUAAACGUAUCGCAAUAACAUUUUAGGUUUUCUGUUUUUCAUUAUUCUAACGAUAAUAAUUUACAUUAAAUAUUUAAUGAAACACAAUUUGGACAACUACUUACUAGUAAGUAUCCAAAAUAUUCCUAAAUUUUCACUGAAAUCACUCGCUACUUCUUCAUUAUUUACAUUUUGAUUCAGCAUUUAAGAAAUACACAAUAACAUCGAGCAUCGAACAAAUGAACGUUUUGCCAUUCCUUGCGCAUACUUUUCCUUAUCUGCAUGAUUUAUCGACAAAUUUAAUUUACCACCGGCACGUGACCAUUAUUCACCUCGUAACAAGCGGUACUCCACGACAUAAGGAACAUUGAAACGCAAAACGGUCAGUUACGAAGAGGACAAUGGAAGCCUUACGAGGAACACCAUGAAGAAAGGAAGGGACGUCGUGAAGAUAUUUUGGCUAUAGUCUAUGCACAUUUCUCUCGAUUUCUUAAGGCAACACGAGGUCAAUAAUUCCUCUGUUAUGAUACGUAUAUAUCUGAUGAACUCACCCUCUAUACAUCAAGAUAUUUUAUUUUUGUAACAGCUUGAAUAUUGAAGUAUUACUAAAUGAUAAUUAAUUGGUAUACAAAUAUUACAAUACAAAAGAUUGAUUCUAGAGGCCAAAAUAAAUACAAACAUUGUUUAUUCAUUAAGUUAUAAGCAAUUAAAGGCAAAGAUGAAAUGAGAUAACUGUCUUCAUUCUUCUAAUGCAAAUUUCAAUUGUUUAAUAAAUUUUAACUCACAUUUUUGUUUUGAUGUUCUAUGAAUAUGUUCUAGAAAUAUACAGCAGACGAUAAAUAUGUAACAAGCGUGACACGAAUAACCUAUAACCCAAUAUGAAUAAACAUAAAUACAAUCAGUGUCUAGAAUCCCCUGGUGUAACCAGUCUUAAGGGUUACAAUAUUCGAAUGAGUCAAUCAACGAAUAAAAUUUCGAUCGAAACGAAGGCCUGAAGAAGAAGGAAAACUUAUCUAAAUGAGGGUCCGGCUCAGCUUCAACAAGGAACUGCGACAAGUUUCACUGGGCCCAUAAGAAAAAAGCAGAGAAUGUCGAAGGCCUUGUUAACAGGAUCUACGCGUAUUCAUUUCUGCCAUAUCAUUUUCAACCUUCGAUUACGUCUCUCGACAUAGUUACUAUUCCAAUCGUCUUCUCAUCCUAUCUUUUGACACUGAUUUAUAUACACCAAUGUGUGUUUAAUCAAACUGAUUACCACUCGAGUGAUAAUUUUAAAAAAUACACAUGACUUAUUGCUCUUUUUUUAAUUAAAAUGUUUUAUCUCAUGCUUUUUCU